CAGUAGUACCGUAGUGGGACCCACGGUAAGUAGGUAUUUUAUUUAUUGUUUAUUUUUCCAUAUUUUCUUCAAUAGUCUUUUUCUAUUAUUAUUUAUUGUUUAUUUUUCCAUAUUUUCUUCAAUAGUCUUUUUCUAUUAUUAUUUAUUGUUUAUUUUUCCAUAUUUUCUUCUUUAGUCUUUCUCUAUUACUAUUUGACGGAACUCUUUGAAUGUCUGGUCGUUACAAGCUUAAGUUGUGUCCCCACAUGGAAGUUAUUCGGUUGGGUCCAUCGAAGGAAAAUUGAUUGAACCGGUCUGGUCAUUCUCUCCCAAACUAUAGAACCAAUUUCGGUCUGCAUCGGAGUUUCGAAGUCGCGGACUUAUCAGAGUGGGCUUUUUAAGGAAUGUUUUUAGAAUAUUUACCAGCCCAAUCCCAUUUUAAGUAUGUCCAGAUCUUAAUUUGGCGAGCCUUUUUAUAUAUGGUGAACAACUGAUUCUAAUGUGUAUGUUUCACUUUUAUUAGAGAAAAAAUGUGAAAAGAUUUAAUGUGUAUGUUUCACUUUUAUUAGAGAAAAAAUGUGAAAAGAUUCUUAAAAGUAUUUAUUUAUGCUAAUUGGCAAAACUAAAACAUCAAUUUAUGUACAUCAUUUUAGUUCUUCCUCUAAGA
This is a long non-coding RNA of Arabidopsis thaliana (thale cress), 646 nucleotides long. RefSeq annotates it as other RNA. The record is from RefSeq. NCBI's taxonomy places the organism in Eukaryota, Viridiplantae, Streptophyta, Magnoliopsida, Brassicales, Brassicaceae. The transcript has a single exon.